CUAUUGGAUGCUUGAACAUUAGGAAGUUCAGGUACAUUGGAUGGAUGCUGGGGGCGUCCAAACCCAUCUUUGGAUACUGGAUGUGUUCAAAUAAAUUCGAACAAGUUUCCACGGACGGAGACUAUGGCUUGGCGAUAGACUACCAAAUGUCUUCGCUAUCCGGACACAACGAGUGUUCCACAUUUUCCUGGAUGCGUGUCACUGGGACUCGUAUGUUGCACGGUGCAGCAAAUCCAUACUGAUCCGAAGCAAAUACAAGGGGUGUUCGCAAAUUGGCUUCCGAGGCAUCAACGGUGAUGACUCACUUUGGUUCACAAUGGCACUUGACUAUAGUGAUUGGCGAAAUCUGAUUUACCAAACUACGGAUUAAUUCAACCCAGCGAAGGAAACCUUACUCGCGACGGCGCACGGUGUACUAACCGUUCACCAAUGGAUUGCAGGUUUCCAAGCUUAUUACUCACACGGAUCCACUACACCUUCAGUAAUACGACAACACACGGCAAAUCGAUAGUACAACGAGAAAUUUAAACAAACCCUAAAGCGAUAUUGGAUCGUAAUACGGAAACCACGGAGAAUCGGCGCGGAUGGUGGUAGAUAACACUUCAAUGGUGGGUGAGAGUUGUUUGAUCUGCUCUACCCAACACUUUCCUAAAUUCGUCACUUCCACAUGAGCAACUACCAACGGUUGGUUAUGGUAUGGAGAGGUAGCAGCAUGAUACGGUUUCGCAGGUCAGUACUACAUACGUAUAUGUUUGGCCGAAGCACGGGCAAUUCCUACUCUUCUAACUUGAAUUUCCUCUCCAACGCCUAUCUACACUUGCACCACUCUGGGAUGAGUUCUUUGGACAUCAACAAACCAUACAUGCGGAGUUUGUUUUCAACAAGAACAACGAUAUUUGGAAAUAUAUACAAAGGAAUGGAUACGCAAGGAAUAUUAUAUACAAUUCAUAAACUGGAACAGUUUCUGGGUGGGUGAGGAUGUUCGGGAGUAACGUGGCUCACCCUGAACUACAUCCCUGAAAUCGUUUGAUGAGCGGGAGCCUUCGCUAUUCUCUCAUUUCAGCAUCGGCAAUUAAAAACUGUAUUUUUCUAUCCUUUUAUAUAAGCGAGCAGUAAUGAUCAGUUCUUUGGUUCAAACGGGUGCCUAUCCCAUAGAAUAUUUUAACAUGUUAGUUUAAGCGUCCUGUAGAUAUGUUUCGGUUACAAAUAAAUGUAGAUAUGUGUAUAGUUUUCGUCAAAUCUAUGUAAUGAA
Molecule: long non-coding RNA, 1252 nt
Organism: Aedes aegypti (yellow fever mosquito)
Lineage: Eukaryota; Metazoa; Arthropoda; Insecta; Diptera; Culicidae
Exons: 2
Source: RefSeq, a predicted model, not a curated record